UUGGAUUAUCAGCGAAAAAGCCUUGUUCUUCCAACAUUUGGCGUGGGUUAUUUUCUGUCGGUAAACCGAUAGGAAGAGAGAUCUAAUGUUUAAAUUCCUUGGGCUUUUCAUGGGACUUUCAUGUUCAGCAGCCAGAGGCGUCAUCGUCCCUUGGUGGUGAUUCCUUGUCGAGACUUCGAGAAGAAAGUCAGAAAGUCAGAUGAUUCCAUAGCCAGGUGUCUAGCCGUGUCAUUUCAAAAGAAGCUGUUAUUUCACAGAAUUGCAUUAGAGUUAUGAAUUUAUGGU
This is a non-coding RNA of Pocillopora verrucosa, 285 nucleotides long. The record is from RefSeq and is a predicted model, not a curated record. Lineage: Eukaryota; Metazoa; Cnidaria; Anthozoa; Scleractinia; Pocilloporidae.